RNAcentral lists this ribosomal RNA (607 nucleotides) under uncultured bacterium. Its description in RNAcentral is "bacterial SSU rRNA". It matches the Rfam family "Bacterial small subunit ribosomal RNA", at positions 61 to 665 of the family's 1533-position model. The record is from RNAcentral.
GUCGAGGGGCAGCGGGAGUAGCAAUACUUGCCGGCGACCGGCGCACGGGUGCGUAACACGUAUACAAUCUACCCUUUACAGGGGGAUAGCCCUCCGAAAGGAGGAUUAAUACCCCAUAAUAAAUUGAAUGGCAUCAUUUGAUUUUGAAAGAUUUAUCGGUAAAGGAUGAGUAUGCGUCUGAUUAGCUAGUUGGAGAGGUAACGGCUCCCAAGGCGACGAUCAGUAGGGGAUCUGAGAGGACUACCCCCCACACUGGUACUGAGACACGGACCAGACUCCUACGGGAGGCAGCAGUAAGGAAUAUUGGUCAAUGGAGGCAACUCUGAACCAGCCAUGCCGCGUGCAGGAAGACGGCCCUAUGGGUUGUAAACUGCUUUUGUACGGGAGAAAACCCUUUCACGUGUGGGAGGUUGAUAGUACCGUAAGAAUAAGCAUCGGCUAACUUCGUGCCAGCAGCCGCGGUAAGACGAAGGAUGCAAGCGUUAUCCGGAUUCAUUGGGUUUAAAGGGAGCGUAGGUGGACUUGUAAGUCAGUGGUGAAAUCUCUCAGCUUAACUGAGAAACUGCCAUUGAUACUGCAGGUCUUGAGUACAGAUGAUGUGGGCGGA